ACAACACCGUUCCCGCCAGCCAGUAACAAGGGGCGCUAGUGAUUGUGUACAAUACAGGAUGAAGCGGAAUGAGUGGGUCAUUAACUCCACAAAAUCACCUCAUUAUUAAGAAGGAGAGAUGGCCGAGGGGAGGCCGAAGAGGAUUAGAUCUGCAGAGCACAAGUUGAAAAAGAAGGGCUACGAUCAGAGCCGAGCCAAGACCCGCAUCAACAUCGGCGAAGCUUUUCAGCGGUGGAGAGACCUCCAGAAGUUGAAGGGCAUGAAGACGGACGCGGAGGUAGCCGCGUUUCUGCUUGAUAGUUAUCUCCGGACUAAGUCAGAGAGUCGACCUCAACGUUCGAGCCUGAAAAGGAGCUCUUCAACUGAAACCUGUGAAAGUGUGCACUGUGAAUACCCGUUUAUGAUGAGUUCCUCAAAUGACUCUGAGCAGGAAACUUGUGCCGAUCCUUUGGUCCAGUCGUCUAACAAUGGAAAGGUAACUGUGAUCCCUCGUGUAGAACACAAAGGAUUAGUCGACCCAUUUCUUAAUACUGAUAAAUAUGGCAAUCGAUGAAUAGCUUCAGUCACUUCUGAAAUCCAAAAAACAAAUCAAUUUUCAGCUUCUCUAAUGUGUAAACAUAUCGCUGUUCUCGGGCUUAAAUCAUUGCAAAUUGAACAUUUAUUCAGCUGUGGACGUAGCACUCUCGGAACUUGUAUUUUUCUGUGAGCUGAAUGUGUAAUUAUCAAUAUUUUGUUUUGUCUUUAUUGUAUUUCGUUAUUGUGUGGUGUGUAAAAUGUGGUGCACAGUAAACAUAAGAGGGUUGUCUGUAUCCACUGAGCUCUCUGCCGACUGGUUGCUGUUUCUUGUCUUAUCUUUAGGAGCUGCAGAAAAAAGAUGCUGCUUGUCAGAGACCAAAAAGUGAAGAUGAAUGGUCAGAAAAUAAAGAAAAUGGAGUUGAAGAAGAGGAGGAUGAAGAAUUCAGCACCUCGUUAAGUGUGGGAGACGGUCGCUUCCUGGUGGACUUGGGAAGCUCGUCAGAGUUCAUCGUGGAUGAAGAGUGCAUCCUCCAGCUGUUCAAGUUGUGCCGGCAGUGCAACGGAGAAUGCGCAGUGAGGAAACGCGUCAAAGGACUGAAGCUUGUCGUUUACCAGGCAUGCUGUUUCUGUCAGAGCCACAGCAAAUGGACCAACCUGCCGGAUGACGAUGAGAACAAAGACGAUGGUCAUUCCCAGAUCAAUGGGACAGACACAGAACAUGGACAGAACAUGGAGAUAUCACCGGGCAGCAACACCAGCUGAGAUAAUGCUUCUGUAAUGAAUCCAAGCGGGCUGCGGGUGCUCUGAAACCGGAACGUGUUUCAGCUGAACAUGUACAGCGGGUGAAGCAGCUGGACUUCUGCUGCUUUCUGUGGACUCUGGAAGCCAUCAGCACCUUCUCUGUAUAUUUCACUCAUUUCCUGAUGCUUCCACAAAUGCAGGCAGGAGUGUGGCGGCCUCAGAUUGUGACGGGCAGGUAAGAGAAGAUUUCCAGUGCUCAGUUAAGUUACUGUUGCAUUCUGUUCUACUGACCACAAGUACAUGCUUCAAACUCACCUGAGCUGCUGGAAUCGAUCACUUGAUUUGAAAACAGGCUGCACUGCCCGUGUGUCUGUUUCCACAAAGCCACACUAACCACAGUUAAAUAAACGGUUGUAGUGGCAAAAAAGUUGCUUUAAGAAAGAUGGUCUAUUCGUGUGUGUAUUUUUGGAAGGUUUUCUCAGUGAGUCUUUAAUCUUGUGAUUCUUUCCUAUCUUAGGGCAAAUUUCUAGUAUCACAUCACACAGCUGCUCAGACAAGGACUACUGUCUAAAUACUAGUCACUGGUUUAACUCAUGACCCUCAUUUACACAUUUGAUCUGUAUCUGGAUAUGAAAAAGAGAAUAUUAAUGCAAGUGGAUGAAAAAUGCACGGUGAUCUGAAUGUGGCCAAACCACAUCUCUGCUAGGCCACCCUCGAGGCCGUCUGACUACUUUCUUAGUAAAUUAAUCCACUCAACAAGAUGAAAGGUUACGUAUGCCUUUUACUGUUUAAAUAAAUAAGCCUGGCAAAAGCUACAAGCUCUGGCAGUGGCUAGGAAGUUUUCUUUUGCAAAAAAAAAAAAAAAAUGAUUUGAUGGUGACUGAUGUCCAUCUGCCCUCCACUGGCAUUGCUUUCCUUGACCUGGAAUGAGACACGUGUCUUGGUAAGGAAGCUCUGAACGACUAAUGUGCAACAAGACAUCUGACAACUAUGCAGGCAGGUGAGGGUACUUAUCUAUGCUAGGUACAAAUACAAAGGUCUGUGGACUGGAUGUUAUGACUUUAACCCUCGUGUCGUCCUGCAGCUCAUUUCACCCGUUUUAAAGUUUGAAAAUGGGGGGGGGGGGGACAUUUGCACAGUGAAAAUUUACACAUUUUUGGGAAAUUUUCGAAGAUUUUUGGGGGAAAAAAAUAAAUGUUUUUUUAAGAACAUUCAGAAAAUGUUAAUUUUUUUUUCUGAAUGUUCUUAAAGAAAAUAUUAGAAGUUUUACUGAUCUGUGUCAUCACUUUAGAUAUUUUUAGCAUUUCUUUGGAAGAUAUUUUCUCCUUUUUUUUUUGAAAAUACUUAAGAAUUUUCUUGCCAAAUUUGGGGAAUUUUUUAGAAUAAAACUUUUGAGGGAAACUUUUAAGGAAUUAUUGGAAUUUUCUUCCUGAAGUUUUUGCAAAUUUUCAGAAAUUUGGGGAAUUUUUUGGUGAUUUUUUUUUUAUUUUUUUUUCCCAGACAAGGAAACAAUAUUUAUUUGGUCCCUGUAAAUGAGGACAACAGGAGGGUUAAUAAUACCUAAAUAAAGGUGACAUAAUACCAGGAAUAAAUGGGGCCCAAUGCUUAACCUGUUAAACCACAGUCACCAUGUGAGCAAAGAUCAUUACAAAGAUGAAGAAAAAAAUCAUUUUUGUGUCUGUAUUAUCGCUUAGCUAUUUGGAACACCUCAGUUUACCGUUUGAGGCAGAGCGGCACAUUAGCAUUUAAAACUAGCAUCCAAUUAGCCUUGAUAAAUGGAUCCAUAUUC
Molecule: long non-coding RNA, 3046 nt
Organism: Acanthochromis polyacanthus (spiny chromis)
Lineage: Eukaryota; Metazoa; Chordata; Actinopteri; Pomacentridae
Exons: 6
Source: RefSeq, a predicted model, not a curated record